UAACGACUCUCGGCAACGGAUAUCUCGGCUCUCGCAUCGAUGAAAAACGUAGCGAAAUGCGAUACUUGGUGUGAAUUGCAGAAUCCCGUGAACCAUCGAGUCUUUGAACGCAAGUUGCGCCCGAAGCCUUSGGGCUAAGGGCACGUCUGCCUGGGUGUCACGC
RNAcentral lists this ribosomal RNA (163 nucleotides) under Rinorea rubrotincta. Its description in RNAcentral is "5.8S ribosomal RNA". It matches the Rfam family "5.8S ribosomal RNA". Rfam says of the family: 5.8S ribosomal RNA (5.8S rRNA) is a component of the large subunit of the eukaryotic ribosome. It is transcribed by RNA polymerase I as part of the 45S precursor that also contains 18S and 28S rRNA. The record is from RNAcentral. Lineage: Eukaryota; Viridiplantae; Streptophyta; Magnoliopsida; Malpighiales; Violaceae.